CGCUGGCGCGUGCCUAAUACAUGCAAGUCGAGCGGAGUGAUGAAGAAGCUUGCUUCUUCUGAUUUUAGCGGCGGACGGGUGAGUAACACGUGGGCAACCUACCUUGUAGAUUGGGAUAACUCCGGGAAACCGGGGCUAAUACCGAAUAAUCCAUUUUGCUUCAUGGCGAGAUGUUAAAAGGCGGCUUCGGCUGUCACUACGAGAUGGGCCCGCGGCGCAUUAGCUAGUUGGUAGGGUAAUGGCCUACCAAGGCGACGAUGCGUAGCCGACCUGAGAGGGUGAUCGGCCACACUGGGACUGAGACACGGCCCAGACUCCUACGGGAGGCAGCAGUAGGGAAUCUUCCACAAUGGACGAAAGUCUGAUGGAGCAACGCCGCGUGAGUGAAGAAGGUUUUCGGAUCGUAAAACUCUGUUGUAAGGGAAGAACACGUACGAGAGUAACUGCUCGUACCUUGACGGUACCUUAUUAGAAAGCCACGGCUAACUACGUG
RNAcentral lists this ribosomal RNA (493 nucleotides) under uncultured bacterium. RNAcentral describes it as "bacterial SSU rRNA". It matches the Rfam family "Bacterial small subunit ribosomal RNA", at positions 34 to 507 of the family's 1533-position model. The record is from RNAcentral.